RNAcentral lists this long non-coding RNA (301 nucleotides) under Nicotiana benthamiana. Its description in RNAcentral is "long non-coding RNA (NBEN_LNC001852)". Lineage: Eukaryota; Viridiplantae; Streptophyta; Magnoliopsida; Solanales; Solanaceae. The record is from RNAcentral.
ACCCUCAAUCGGUACAGAAGCCAUGCUAGUGAAGUUAAAAUUAUCACGAAGAUGCAUGUGCUCACCUAGAUGGGUUCCAGAAGGACCACUAGUGACAGGUGAUGAUAAUCAAGUAGGGAUCUAAAACUGCGCCUAUACUUAGGAGAAUGGGAACGACGACAAUUCCAAAUGAAAAAAUUCAUAAGAGAAUUAUUUGGAGGGGUCGAGUGGAGUUCAGUGACUAAAGAGUUCUCCUGUUGAAUUAGAACACGUGCAAAUUUGCCCACAUACUGAUUGGUUGUGAUUUGUUUAGAUUUGGCGG